GGUAAACUAUGGAUUGCGCUUC
RNAcentral lists this microRNA (22 nucleotides) under Nematostella vectensis (starlet sea anemone). Its description in RNAcentral is "nve-miR-2029-3p". The record is from miRBase by way of RNAcentral. Lineage: Eukaryota; Metazoa; Cnidaria; Anthozoa; Actiniaria; Edwardsiidae.